GGGCCCUCCAUAUGAAAAUAUCCCAGCUCAUGAAGCAUCACUUGGAUUUAUUUCUGAUAGUGGGAAGACACGUUAUUUAUUAUCUGAUGGACAGCUAUAUUCUUUCGAGCUGUCAAUUGGCAAGUGAUGUGUGGGCACUGGCCCCUAUAAAUAGGGGCCAAAGCUCAGUUGAACUCCACCUUUCAUCUUUCUCUCCUUUGUAAAAAUUUCUUCUCUCCUCUAUCGCCAUAGCACCAAAUUUGGCAGCAAUCAAGGCCAGAGUGAAGGAAUGGAAUGCCUUUGUGAGAGCAGCCUGGAAGAGGGCUAGGCGUGCUUUCUCCUCUCGCAGGGUGCCCUCCACCUCUUGGUCCCCACCAUCUUCUGAGGGUGAACGUACCUCCCAGUUUGAGCAGAUUUCUUUCGAUGUUCGAGUGCGUUGUAUUUAGGAGUUUCGAACUUCUGUGGAGUUCGAGGAGGAGGCUAUCGACAUUAUUGCUAUCACUUUUAUCCUCAAUUUCAAGGAUUGUAAUGCCCACCUAUUGCAGAUAAUGCCGUAC
Molecule: long non-coding RNA, 536 nt
Filed under: Elaeis guineensis (African oil palm)
Lineage: Eukaryota; Viridiplantae; Streptophyta; Magnoliopsida; Arecales; Arecaceae
Description: long non-coding RNA (EGUI_LNC008713)
Source: RNAcentral